AAAGAUUAAGCCAUGCAUGUCUAAGUAUAAGCAAUCUAUACGGUGAAACUGCGAAUGGCUCAUUAAAUCAGUUAUCGUUUAUUUGAUAGUACCUUACUACUUGGAUAACCGUGGUAAUUCUAGAGCUAAUACAUGCUAAAAACCCCGACUUCGGAAGGGGUGUAUUUAUUAGAUAAAAAACCAAUGCCCUUCGGGGCUCCUUGGUGAUUCAUAAUAACUUAACGAAUCGCAUAGCCUUGUGCUGGCGAUGGUUCAUUCAAAUUUCUGCCCUAUCAACUUUCGAUUGUAUGGUAUUGGCUUACAAUGGUUU
Molecule: ribosomal RNA, 310 nt
Filed under: uncultured fungus
Lineage: Eukaryota; Fungi
Description: SSU rRNA
Rfam family: Eukaryotic small subunit ribosomal RNA
Source: RNAcentral